Astatotilapia calliptera (eastern happy) is the source of this 532-nucleotide long non-coding RNA. Lineage: Eukaryota; Metazoa; Chordata; Actinopteri; Cichliformes; Cichlidae. The record is from Ensembl.
GACGUCUUAUGUGACAUCGGACAGAGCAGAGCAGUAUUUAUGACCGGCGCACUCAACUGGUCGUCGCCAGAUUAUCUGCCAACUUUACCUCGGAACCCCACCUACCAAGCUCUCCUGGAUACCAGUUUGCUGCCGCCGGAAAUCACUCUCCGUGUCGGAGCUGCCACUCUUUCCUGCCUGCCUCCCUGCAUUGCAUGCAGCACCCACCUGGACCUCUCCUGCCUCCCCUCUCCACGCAACCCUCACCUGCAAGUUUGGAUAAAUCGGUAUGCACUCUACUCAACAGUGAGGAAAAAAACACCACUUAUUCACAAAUCGUGAAAGAGAAACAAAUCAAAGUCAACAGAGUUUCCAUCAGAGCCAGAUGCCAUCUCCCCCCUAAAAGAUGUAGUCCACCAGUCCAACCACUGCAGUCCAGCUGAGGGUCUCGAAUCCGUCCACCCAACACCUCAGAUAACAAUUACUUGUAUAACCGAUUAGUAGAUAGAUAGUAGACGGGGGCGACCGUAGCUCAGGGGAUUGGGAAGCGUAU